Pleuronectes platessa (European plaice) is the source of this 72-nucleotide non-coding RNA. The record is from the annotation of a RefSeq genome assembly. Lineage: Eukaryota; Metazoa; Chordata; Actinopteri; Pleuronectiformes; Pleuronectidae.
GGCGUGGUGGCCAAGUGUUAAGGCAUUGGUCUAGUAAGUCAAAGAUCAUGGGUUCAGUCCCCAUCCAUGCCA